UGAACGAGGCCUGGAUUUGCAAAGUCAAAGACUGGUUUCUAAUUUGCAAAGUCUCUACCAUUUUCUUAAUUUGACAUGAGAAUGUUUUGUUGUUAUUUUUCUAGACUUGGUGUGAGCCACCAGAACGACAAGUUAGACAGGUGUAUUUGGAUCACGUCAAGCUUCUUUCAAUUCAUCACCAUGUCCGUUGCUAAGGUCAGUUUCAAUGGAGUUUCAUGAAGAGAUUUAUGGGCAUUAAAUUUUAUACCACAUCAGCAAUUUUGCUGACUUAGUAAGGUCAUUUAUGAUUAGAGUUUUACCAGAUGUGAGAUGAGUUUCAUCACUAUAACACUUCGCUGGUAUAGUUAUCUAGUUCUUAAUCUUGAUACCUGUGCAAUGAGACUGGACUAAACCAGGGACACGUAUCGCAUAACCAACACCCCACGCCCACGGCAGUUGAGGAAUUGUGCUAACUCUCCUGUCAUAUGCUCAUCAAAAAUUAAUAUCAACAAGAAGUGGAGGGUCCAUAUGGCUCAGUACUUAAUAAGUCCUCAUGAUUGUCGAUGAAUGCAUGAUGCCGAAGGUAGGUAUUGAUCUAUUUAAGGGUUUAAGUAAUCAAUGGGAAAGUUGACUCGAGUAUUUUUUUUAAGUUAACACAUGCACACAAUACACGUAUCACACACUCACAUCUAUAAACUUCGAUAAGGAACUGAGCAGAUAUAUCUUCAGGUUGACGAAGCCAGUACAGUACAAGUGCCUCAUUGUCGAUGGUUGUGUUACCAAAUCACCGAUAAAAAUAGCCAAAUUUAGUGAGACACGCAUGAUGUAAAACAAGAGGUUGAUCCUUAAUGGUUCCAUCACUAGCUAGGUUGAGCUUAUUCUAAGUUACAAUUAACCAUCUAAACAAUACUCUCUUGACUCUAUUAUUUUUUUCACGCCUCCAAUCCACAUUCCUUAUUUUUCCCUUCUCUGCUCACCUCCUCCGACUCUUACGACAUCCACCCUCAUGGCUCCAUCCCUAACAAGAUAGGGCUUGUCCACUAGGUUAAAUUAGAUAUUUAUUUUGAAGAUUUUGGGGGAUAGGAUCUUGGAUUUAGAGGAGAAUGAUGAAGAUAAAUGUUAGCCCAGCGAUGGAGGUGGUUGGUUGGCAGGCGGCGAGCCAUAAGAGGCACCACGGUCUAGGAUGGUGGAGGAUGGUUGGUAGUGAGUGUUAGGGCACUCACAACUCACUUGUACAAGUUAGCGUGACGACAAACUUGGCAACGAAAGAUGCCGGAUAUUGGAGCGGGAGGGGAGGUUAGGAGAAAGAGGAAAAUGUGGUUAAGAAGAAAUGCAUUAACAGUUGGCUCAAAAUCAGAUGGAUGAAAAACAUUAGGAGAGAGGGAUGAAAAAAUCAGGGUGUGAAAGGACGAAAAAUACGUUUAGUGUGGUACAACCAAUCCCUUGGCUAAACUGGACAUGCAACAUUUUCUAUCCAACAUGGUUUUUGCAGACUGUAUGGAAGGUAGAAUAACUCCCUGUGUCAUUUGGACGCUAGGGACAAGGUUCUCUCCAUGAUAAGCCUGGUCCAUGACUACCCUCAAAAUUCUAGCGUGGGAGUAAUGCGGAAUAUCAAUCUCAUUCUCCUUUAUGGAAAUAAGACAUAAUUCAUUUAAGGUUUAGGUUUUUAUACAUCUGGUAAAAAAGUAUAAAAAGUAUAUUUAGAUGAGGUUUUUAUACGGUAGAUUUAGUUUUUUAUACUAUUUUUUGGUUCAAUUUACUCCUACAACUAUGUCAAUUGGCCCAAUUUACCCCUUAAUAAGAUUUGUUUUUUUCUCCACACACAAAUGGAGUUUUAAGUUAAAUUUUGUAGGAUGGUCGUAAACAUCAUAACAUACGUUAGGAAAAUAUGUUAUGAAUUUUGUUGUCACUACUUUGAUAGACUAGGGUAUCUAAUAAUAAAAUUAAUCCUUGGUAUAU
RNAcentral lists this long non-coding RNA (1938 nucleotides) under Setaria viridis. RNAcentral describes it as "long non-coding RNA (SVIR_LNC008265)". Lineage: Eukaryota; Viridiplantae; Streptophyta; Magnoliopsida; Poales; Poaceae. The record is from RNAcentral.